This 24096-nucleotide long non-coding RNA is filed under the name Daucus carota (carrot). Its description in RNAcentral is "long non-coding RNA (DCAR_LNC002601)". The record is from RNAcentral. Lineage: Eukaryota; Viridiplantae; Streptophyta; Magnoliopsida; Apiales; Apiaceae.
AAGAUCCCUUCCCCAAGUUGCGGAUUGUGGAUCUGUCCAACAAUCAAUUCACAGGCCAUUUGCCAAUUCAAUACUUUAAGAAUAUGAAAUCAAAUGAUAAUUUGUAUCGUUAUCUGAAUUCCACAGGAGAAAUAUAUAUCUCUUAUGAAGCAGCAGUCUCAUUAACUGUGAAGGGAACAGAGUAUGAAGUAGCAAAGAACCUUCAUAUUUACACAGCCAUUGAUCUGUCGUGCAACAAAUUUCAGGGAGAAAUUCCAAAGGUUACCGGAGAGCUUAGAUGGCUUGCAUUGCUCAAUUUAUCUCAUAAUAGUCUAACAGGACCUAUCCCAUCAUUGCUGGGAAAUAUGAAAGAACUCCAAUCUUUAGAUUUGUCCUCAAAUCAACUGACAGGGGCUAUUCCACCUCAGCUAACUGCAUUGACAUUUCUAGAGGUCUUGAACCUCUCGGGAAACCAUCUUAGUGGAGAGAUUCCUCAGAAAGGACAGUUCAGCACAUUCAACAAUGAUUCUUAUCUAGGAAACUCCGCGUUAUGUGGAUCACCUUUGACGAAGAAAUGUGGAAACACUGUAUCACCUCCACAGGAAGUCGGAAAUGGUGAUGAAGAUGAUGCGGGUGAUGAAUGGACAUGGGAAGCAAUCGUGAUGGGAUAUGGAUGUGGACUGAUAUGUGGAUUGUCAUCUGCGUACAUUGUUCUCAAACUAGGAAAGCCUUGGUGGUUUGUGAGAUAUAUCGAAGUACUGCAACAGAAGUUGAUGAAAAGAUAUGCAUGAAGAAAGGUACUGGUAGAUCAAGAUGAAAAGAUAUGAAGAAGUAUUUGGUAUUAUGUAAUAAUCCGUUUGGUCGGGACUCAAAAUGAUUUCUCUUGCUUCAGGGGUAUUAAUAUUAACCUUGCUAUCUUGUUCAAUGUUAAUGCAAAUUAAAAAGAAUAUAAAAGCAAAAAAUUUGCAUCAAACACCUGUUGUACCAACAUGCAUCCAUUAAUUUGCUUUCAUCUAUUAAGUAACAAUUUAAGAGCGCUUCCACUCUGUUUAAGCAUGGAGAUUACACAAAGAAGGCAAGUCCAUGGAUUAACACGUAGUCCACAUCUAUGCUACGAACAAUUCACAUUGAUCUUAUAUCUGUUCAACAGUCUCCCGAAGAUAGGCCAUAAAUGUCAUCUGUGGCUCUUAUGUUUGUCAGUAAAGGAGAAUCUCUGAUGCCUAUAACCUGGUUUUCUUACAAGAUGCCCAGGUUAUCAUGGCCAUGCAGAAAAAUGCCCAAAAAUGAAUAGCUCAGGUCUCCCCAAGCCUUCCAGGACUCAUUCCAAGUCUUCGGAGGACCACUGCCUCCCCCUUUCAAAGAUGUGAUUGUAGCUCGAAAGUGAUAUAAAUUAUUUUCCCCACAUUAAAAAUAAAAAAUCAGAUUAAAUUAAUCAAUAAUAAAUUAAGGAUGAAAUCCAAAUUAAUCCUAAAUUUUGAUAAUAUAUAAAAAUUAUAAUUAUAAAUUAUAUAACCAAAUCAGAAUUGAAUUAACUUACUUGGCACUAGAAUUGCUAAAGACAGUAUAAUAAUUUAAUUGAUGAAAAGUCAAAGUCUUCUAAUAAAUCCAUAAAGAAUAUGAUAAUAUGAAAAUUAUAAUUGAAAAAUCAAAAUCAAUAGUGUAUUGGAAUAGUGUUCACACACUUAUAUAUCAAAAUUUGUGGUCCAAAAACUAUAGCACAAUAUCCUAAAUACAUCACAUUAAAUAAUAGCACAAAAAUAUUCAAUAAAUAAUUGAUUUCAUUCAUAAAUUUGUUAUUUUAAAAACUAAUAAUUUGGUUGAUGUUAACCUAUAUUUUAUAUAUAAUUUCGUCUUAUUUUAUUUUACUAGAAACAAUAUUUUUAUAAUAUUUAUUACAUUAAAUAUAUUAAAAGAUAUAAUUUUAUUAAAAAAAUUGAAUAAAAUUAAAAGGAUAAGUCUCGGCCUCUCCAAGUCUACAAGACUCAUUUCAAGUCCACCGAGGGCCUCAACCAUUGAGAGAUGUGAAAGUAGCUUGAGAGUGAUAUAAAUUAAUUAAAUUAGUUAAUAAUGAAUCAAGACUAAUCAUGAAUUAUGAUAAUAAUUAAAUAAAUUAUAAAAUUAAAUUAUACAAAUAACACUAAACCUUAGUUACUUUAUUGGUAAAAUAAAUAUAAUAUAAUAAUUAAAUUGAUGAAAAAUCAAAAUCAUCUAAUAAAUUCACAAAAAAUAUAUGAUCAUUAGUAUAUUAUAUUAGUAUCCACACACUUAUAUUUCAAAUCUAUCCUCCAAAAUUAUCAUCUCGAUAAACUAGCCGCAUAAAAUAAAAAUUUAACGAUAUUAGAUAUUUAGCUAUUUUCAUUAUAUAAUUUUUCCACACUAAAUAACAAAAUAUCUUUAUCAAAUUAUUAUUUAUGAAUUAAAUAUUCAAGUUAUAAUUCCAGCAUGCAGCGUAUAAAUAGAAGUGUGCAGUAUGAUAUCAGAUUCAUAACCCAGUUGAGGAGAAACAUGGCACACUCUGUAAAGCCUUCUCACCUUCUUCUCUUUGUUUUCUAUCUCUCUUAACUUGAAUACAUUCUUGCAACAACACAAGAGGGAGAAGCUCUUGUGAAAUGGAAGAAUAGCCUAGCCCCUUCUUCUUUUCUCGACUCUUGGUCACUCACCAAUCUCGAUGAUCUUUGUAACUGGACUGGCAUCACUUGUAACUCUGCAGGUUCAGUCUCUCAGAUCAACCUUUUCGAAAAACAACUUGAUGGAAUGCUGUCCGAGUUUGGUUUCACUUCAUUUCCGAAUCUCAACAAUCUCACCCUCGCAUACAACUUCUUCUCGGGUCCGAUACCACCGGCCAUUGAGAAUUUAACACAGCUUCGGUAUCUUGAUUUAAGCUUUAAUUCUCUCCAUGGUCCCAUUCCGUUCCAGGUUAGCCAUCUUCAGAGCUUGCUCAUCUUAAACCUGUCACAGAAUGCAUUGCAAGCUCCAAAUUGGUCCCAUUUCUCUCCCAUGCCUUUUUUGCGCAUCCUCAACCUCAUUAGCAAUCCUCUUGCGUCGAAAUUCCCAAAUUUUAUAUCCAACUCUCAUAGCCUGACUCACCUUAGCCUUAAUUUUAAUGAGUUUACUGGUGAUUUAGUACGUGAAUCAGUAUUUGCCAAUCUGCAUAAUCUUGAAUUGCUCAGUCUCGUUGAAAAUUCUUUUGAGGGGCCAUUUCCGCCGGAUAUAUUCAGGCUUUCCAAAUUAAAACAUCUUCACCUGUCAAGUAACAAAUUUUCAGGUUCAAUUUCCAAUGACAUAAGGUUGCUUUGUGAUCUUGAAUCCCUAUAUUUAGGCAACAAUUCCUUCGAAGGACCCCUUCCAUCAAAUAUAUUCAAGCUUUCAAAAUUAAAAAAUCUUGUUAUUGGGAGUAAUAAGUUUUCGGGUUCUGUUUCCAACGAUAUAGGUUUGCUUUCUGAGCUUGAAAGCCUCUAUCUUGACUCCAAUUUUUUUGAGGGGCCGCUUCCGUCAAAUAUAUUCAAGCUCUCCAAAUUAAGGAUUCUUUCCCUUUGGCAUAAUAACUUUUCAGGUUCUAUUUCUAAGGAUAUAGGUUUGCUUUCUGGACUUGAAACCCUCUUUCUUGACUCUAAUUUUUUUGAGGGUCCGCUUCCCCCGCAUAUAUUUAGGCUCUCCAAAUUAAGAGAUCUGGGUCUCUCAGACAAUAGAAAUUUAUUUGAAGGGAGUAUUCCUAUUGGACUGGGACUCUUGACUAACCUCAGGUACUUAGAUCUAUAUUCCAAUAAUCUCGGUGGUUAUAUUCCAUCUGACAUUGGAAACCUGAAGCUACUAGAAGUUCUUGAUCUCAGUUCUAAUCAAUUGACUGGACCGCUUUUAAAGAUUGUUUCUAAUCUCACAAAUCUUAUGUUUCUUGAUGUAAGACAAAAUAGUCUUAGUGGAAAUAUUCAGAGUGACUUGUGGAAAUAUAACGAUCAUCCAACUUUGGAAUUCAUCAAUUUAAGUGGGAACCAUUUUACGGGUAUAGUUUUUCUCUAUAAAUCUUUUCUUUUGUCAUAUGUAACUAAGCUAGUAAUCUGAUUAAUUGCAGUUUUACCAAAGUUUCAACAAUCUUGACAGGUGAGCUUCCAACAACAAUUUGCAAUGUCACUUCCCUUUCAAUUCUUGAUUUGUCAAAUAAUGGAUUAAGUGGUGCACUUCCAAACUGUUUCGGGAAUCUUGCAGAUAGAUUGCUUUUCAUUAAUCUUGCUAAUAAUCAGUUUCGAGGAACAAUACCAACUACUUUAUCCAAAAGUUGUCAGCUGACAUGUCUAAACAUGGAUAAUAAUGAGUUUGAAGGAUUGUUACCCCCAUCUUUGGCGAACUGUAAGCACUUGAGAAUUCUUGAUAUUGGCAACAAUAAAAUAGGUGGCACAUUUCCGUCAUUGCUUUAUGUACUUGGAGAGCUAGAAGUCCUUGUCUUGCGAUCAAAUAAACUCUGCGGUACAAUAAGUGCAAGGAGCAUAGAAGAUCCCUUCCCCAAGUUGCGGAUUGUGGAUCUGUCCAACAAUCAGUUCACAGGCCAUUUGCCAAUUCAAUACUUCAAGAAUAUGAAAUCAACUGAUAAUUUGUAUUGGUAUCGUAUUUCCACAGGAGAAUUAUUUUUCCAAUAUGAAGCAGCAGUCUCAUUAACUGUGAAGGGAAGAGAGUAUGAAGUAGCAAAUAACCUUCAUAUUUACACAGCCAUUGAUCUGUCGUGCAACAAAUUUCAGGGAGAAAUUCCAACGGUUACUGGAGAGCUUAGAUGGCUUGCAUUGCUCAAUUUAUCUCAUAAUAGUCUAACAGGACCUAUCCCAUCAUUGCUGAGAAAUAUGAAAGAACUCCAAUCUUUAGAUUUGUCCUCGAAUCAACUGACAGGGGCUAUUCCACCUCAGUUAUCUGCAUUGACAUUUCUAGAGGUCUUGAACCUCUCGAAAAACCAUCUUAGUGGAGAGAUUCCUCAGAAAGGACAGUUCAGCACAUUCAACAAUGAUUCUUAUCUAGGAAACUCCGCGUUAUGUGGAUCACCUUUGACGAAGAAAUGUGCAAACACAGCAUCACCUCCACAAGAAGUCGGAAAUGGUGAUGAAGAUGAUGCUGGAGAUGAAUUGACAUGGGAAGCAAUCGUGAUGGGAUAUGGAUGUGGACUGAUAUGUGGUUUGUGAGAUAUAUCGAAGUACUGCAACAGAAGUUGAUGAAAAGAUAUGCAUGAAGAAUGAUACUGGCCGAUCAAGACGAACUUGAAAGUUUGUUGUCCUUGUGGACAUUUCAGCUGAACCAGUAGUGUACUAUUCUCUUUGUGACUGCAUAAGUAUUUUGUAUUGUGUAAUGUUCUGUUUGGGCUUAAAUCAUAAUGAUUUUUCUUGCUUCAGGGGUAUUAAUAUAAAACCGUUUGGUCGGGACUCAUAAUGAUUUCUCUUGCUUCAGGGGUAUUAAUAUCAUCCUUGCUAUCUUGAACAAUGAUAAUGCAAAUUAAAAAGAAUGAAAAAACAAAAAUAUUGCAUCAAACACCUGUUGUACCAAGAUCCAUUAAUUUGCUUUCAUCUCUUACGCAACAAUUUAACAGCACUUCCACACUGUUUGAAAGAUUAUCAUAAAUUCGAGUUUUCCUCUCCAGCACCAAAUCCAAAUUAAUAUACAAUGCCACACAUUCCAGUCUCAGCUUCAGCUCCCAGGGUAGCAUUCAUUUAGCCAAGCACGACAGUGGCCGCUUACGUGCCUAACAAUAACAGUUGGGGAUUUGAGUGAACUUGCCUUGGUCCUGCCUUCAAAUGUCUGACAAUAACAGUUGGAUAUGUCGACAAAAAAAUUGUUCCUCACAGAGGAGCUAAUAGCAAUUGACUUCGAAUAAAUCCGACAGUUCUUUUCAUCCAGUUAUUAUUUCAGCAAUAUGUCUAGCAAAUAUGUAGUGCACUGGACACCAUACUACCAACACAAGUAGUAAAAGGAGAGACCAUUGUUUCGAAUGCUCGGAAAUUUGAACAGGGUUUUUUCCACCUGCCCCCUGACUUUUUACACAAACAGGUCAAGAAAAACAGAAGCCGGCUUCUGGAAAAAUGAAGCACUACUUUAUGAGUGACCAUUGUUUUGAAUGCUCGGAGAUGUGAAGUGGAUUUUUUCAGCCUGCCCCCAGACUUCUUUUUGUAAAACUAGAUUUCUUUAGCUCCGGUGUCUUAGUAUUGGAGAUUAUGAGUGACUGUAGAAAAGACUUUAAUAUGAGUGUGAGAUAUACCCCGGUGGAAACAGGACCUUGAUCCAAAGGGUCACGGGUUCAAACCUCACCUGAUCGGGUUCCACUCCACGCUCGGUCCACAUCUAUGCUGGAUUCAUAUUAAAAUGAUAAUGGAACACGGGCGUCCAUGGUUGGGGAUAUCAUAUUAAAAAGAUUAGCUGGGCACAGAUGAAUAUUUAUAUGGAUUUUAAAAACAAACUAUGACUUAAUAUAAGAAAAAUCAUUAUUUUUUAUUUUUCCGACUAAACAUUUGUUAGCCUUCUCUGGUGCCCAUCCAAAUCAUUCAGCGGGUUCUACUUUCAGCUCAUCACAAGAACAUCAUUCUGCAGGUACUUUCUUAUAUUGUUUGCCAGCGGUGACCGAGCCAGAAACUUUUUCGAGGAGGGGCCGGAAUAGAAAUAUUAUUUAAAUUUGAAAAUAUUAUAUAUCAUAUUGAAAAUAGUAUUAGUAACAAAAAUCCAUUUAUUUUAGGUUUCUAUGAGAAAACUCAGUCGUUUCAUUAAGAAAAUUUAAUUACUUAAUUACCAAACGGUUGAGGAUGAAGAUUUGAAAGAACGAGUUGCAACGGGGAGACUCAUAGACGCGACAGAAAAAAAUAGAAAAAGAUAUUGUUCAACAACCGAGUCUAUAUUAUUAAAAUUUAUGAUAAAUGAGAUAAUUUUAUUUUAUAAACUAACUAAAUACAUAUAAUAUAGUAUUAUAUGUAAUGCUACGUAAAAUUGGAUACAAGAUUUUGCACAAAAUGAUAUGAUAACUAAAGUGAAAUAUUUUAAUUGGUGCUAUUAAUGUAUAUAUACAUUUAUUACAAUUAAAACUUAACACAUAUUAUUAAUUUUGUGAAUAAAAUAUUUUUCUUAAUAAUAUAUAAGUAAAAAAAAUAAAAAUCUAGGAGGGGCUCAGGCCCCCUCUGGACCCCUCUAGCUCCGUCUGUAUACACCUAUCAUAUUAUUGACAGGUGGCUCUCUCAUAUUGCUCACAGGCGAACUCCUGCAUAUACUUUGUGAACCAAUCAUGACAAAAAUAUCAUCAUCCAAUCAAUUCGAUUAAUUAUUCUUUAAAUCAGUACAAAUAUUGUUAAAUAUAUGGAUGAUUAUCGUGUUUCCGCGAACCAAUCAUGAAAUGAAAUUACCUCUGUAUAAAUCCAUCGGAAAUAAGACAAUUAAUGGGGCCGUUUGGGCAAGCUUAAAAGAAGUGACUUCUUGCUUAAACUAGAGAAGUGGAGCAGAAGUGAGAAGUAAAUAAGUUAUUAAAGUGUUUGGAAAAGAAGCAGAAGCUGUGAGACAAAAGCUAGCAUUCUCAGCUUUUUAAAAGUGACUUCUUUACACAAACGGGUAAAAAAAGCAGAAGCCAGAAGCAGCUUCUGCUUCCGUUAAACAAACAGGCCCAAUAUCUCAAUCGAAUACACCCCGUGAGUUGUCAAACUCCUCGAAACGUAUUAAUCACUUUAGAAAUUUGUUCCACUGGCGCCAUUCAGUUCCAGAGUUGGUGGUAGGGGCCGUGCUUCUUGUGUUUCUUCUUUUCAUUAUUGACAUUGUCAUCUAGGUCCUUGCUUCUGGGCUUUGGAGAAGUAAACAAUGGAUCUAUUAGUCUUCCAUAUCGCUGAUACGCGCUAACGCGCAUUAUAGUGGAUUGAUCUUUAUUAGUGAUUUCUGUGGAGAUGCAUAAUCAUUAUAAGCUCCAAUAUAAAAUAAACCUAAUUUAAAGUUAGUAUGGGCAUUUGUGUUGAUAAUUUACGCAAUGUUAACAGGGAUUGCUCCCAAGUCUUGGACGGAUUCUUUCCAAGUCUUCUGAGGACCUAUUUGCACACUAAUUUGUCGCCAACUAAAAAUUCAACGAUAUUGCUAGCUCCCUCUACUAAUUUUUUGCGGGACGUUUUUUACUUUUAACACAUAUCUUUAGAUAGAAUUAGUAUUGUAAAAAGCGGGAAUCAGACUUAAUCGGUGAAGUCACAGAACAACGAUUAAUCGAUGAUUAAUUGGAUUGAUUGGGUAUCAAUCGGAUGAUUAAUGAAAUAAUCGGAUAUUUAAUCCGUUCGACGAGUUACGGAACAGGGAUUAAUCGUGAUUAAUCACCGACUUUUAGAACAGAGGAUAGGAUAAUAAAAUUAUUAUUUUUGAUUAUUUUUUUUGUGAAUAAAAAUUUUGAUUAUAUAUUUUUAUUAAAAAAGAAUUUAAAAUAAUAUUUUUAACUAACCGGUCCAAACAGCUAAAAGUGUGUGCCCAAGCGUCAUAUAAAAACGGAGGGAGCGAGCAUGUGCUGACUAACGGUUCAACUAACAGUUUACAAGUACUCCAUCUGUCCCAUUUAGUCCUAUUUAAUUAUAUACGUUUUUUUUUAACUGUUUGACACGCACUUCAAUGCUCUUCUAAAAUAUGGUUCUAUAACUUAUUUUUAAAAUUUUCUUUUUCUGAAUAAAAAUAUAACAUUCAAACUUUUAUUCAGAAAAAAAUAUCGUAAAAAUAAGUUAUAGAAUUAUAUUUUAUAAGAGCAUUAAAGUCCAUGUCGCGUCCCCGUCUUCUGAUGUAUAAAUUUGCGCAAUGUUAACGGGGAUUGCUCAUUUGCUCUCAAGUCUUGGACGGACCAAGUCUUCUAGGACCCAUCUGCACACUAAUUUGUCUGCCAACUAAAAAAUCAACGAUAUUGCUGCCUCUGCUAUUUUUUACCAGGACGUUUUUUACUUUUAACACAUGUUUAGAUAGGAUAAUAAAUAUUAUUAUUAUUGAUUAAUUUUUUUGUGAAUAAAAAUUUUGAAUAUAUAUUUUUAUCAAAAAAAGAAAAUUUUAAAAAUAAUAUUUUUAAGGGAAAUUAUUAAUGGUACUAUUGUGCUACUGGCUUUUCUAAAUGGUACUAUUUUGGUGUUUUCGACUUACAUGCAUUAUCACUUCCAUUAACGAUACUACCAUUCCGUCCCUCAAAACGUUAAAACCAUUAGUUGACCGUAUUUAUUUUGUAUUUUCCUUGUAAAAAAAACAAAAGAAUACAACUAAUAUUUGUAUUUUUUGUUUGUGUUCAAAUCGUCGAGAUAUGGAAGAGGUUAUCAGAAUUUUAGAAUUGAUUCGAUGUCCUUCAGAAAGUCAGGGGGAAACGGAAUGAGAUACGAGUUUUGAACAAGAAUCCAGUUUAGUUGUUGUUUAUCUUGAAAAACAGAUUUGGAAGUCAUAUAUUUUCAGCCUUUGGCUUCAUGUAUUUCUGUCUCAUCAUUCCCAGAUACUUGCUGAGGUUUAUAGUCACUGUUUAUUAAAUGUUGUCGUACAUUUUCCUGUAUUAUGCACCCAUGUGGCGCCUGUGUUUUGCAUGUCAUGCACAAUUUGCUCAACUACAUACAGGUCACAGGAUGAGUGCAUGUGCCAAAGGGAUUAGUGCAUUGAUCUGUGUAGUGUGAGGACACUGUGAUACAAGGCACAAUUUCUCAGAUUUCUUCUGUCAACACCACUCCCAUCCAUAGCUCCCACCUUUUCUCUCUCAAUCUCAUGUUUCUCUCUUUCUCUCGCAGCUCCGCCGCCACCACUACAUCAGUCUUCAAGAACUCAAGAAAAAAUAUGGAUAUCAGUUAUAUUUUUUGUGUUUUUUAAAGAAGUAUAUGAAAUAAAUAUAGUCAACUAAUGUUUUUAACGUUUUGAUGGACCGAAUGGUAGUAUCAUUAACGGAUCAUAAACUGAGUGGUACCACUUGUAAGUAAAAACCAGUGUUGUAAAAAGCGGGAAUCGGAUUUAAUCGGUGAAGUCACGGAACAAAGAUUAAUCGGAGAUUAAUCGGACUAAUCGGUGAUUAAUCGGAUAUUUAAUCAGUUCGGCGAGCUACGGAACAGGGAUUAAUCGGUCGUGAUUAAUCACCGACUUUUAGAACAGAGGUAAAAACACGAAAUGGUAUUAUUCAUAAAAGCCAAUACCACGAUGGUACCAUUAAUAAUUUCCCUAUUUUUAAUUACCGAGUCCAAAUAUUUAAACGUGUGUGCCCAAAAUUAAAGCCGCAUAUAAAAAAACGGAGGGAGCAUGUACUAACCGUUUCCAUAACAGUUUACAAGUAUAAGUUAUACUCCCUCUCAAUUUUUUUAUUUUUUUAUAUGACGUUUUGAUCUUGGGCACACAUUAUUAAGUGUUUUGACCGGAUAGUUAAAAAUAUUAUUAUUUAAAUUUUCUUUUCUGAAUAAAAAUAUAUAACCAAAAAUUUUAUUCACAAAAAUUUUUAGUGAUUUUUUCGUGAAUACCUAAGGCCAAUUUUUCAAAUAUUUUGUAAAAAUACCAAUUUUUUGAAAAUAUUUGCAAAGAUAAUGUAUUCAACCACAUGCAACCAUACUUAUAACCAGAUGUAACCAUAAUUGCAACCUCUGCGGGACCAAUUAACUGAAUUUGUAUUUGGUUGCACUAGUUAGUAUUUUCUUAAAGUUAGUAUUUUUGUAAAUAUUUUUAAAAAAAAGUAAAAUCGCAAAAAAAAAAAUCGAAAAAAUGGUUUGAUAAAUUUCUAAAUAUUUAAUCACAGAACAAUAACUUUUACAAUCCGAUCAACUCAUUUAAAAAUGUGUGUCAAAAGUAAAAAUGUCAUAUAUAUAUAUAUCAUAUAAAUGUCAUAUAAAUUUAAAACAAAGGGAUNCAUAUAAAUGUCAUAUAAAUUUAAAACAAAGGGAUAUAUAUUUUUUAAUAAAAUAUACUCCCUCUAUCCCAAAUAAGUGUCAGUGACAUUUUGCAAAAAUAGCUUGGGACAAUAGAUUUUUUUGCCACUCAACUUAAUGUGUUUUUAGAAAUUCGCCACCCAACUAAUUUUUUUUUCCUUUUACUCACUAAUGUUAGGUUUGGAUUUUUUUUAGCCACCAACUUAGGUUCGGAUUUGAUUACUAGUAUUAUGAUAAUUUUAUUUAUCACUAAACUUACUGCGUCUUUAGGAAUUAACCACUGAACUAUAAUUUUUUUAUUUUACUCACUAAUGUUAGGUUCAUUUUUUUUGUCACUGAAGUUAGGUUCGGAUUUGAUUAUUAGCAUUAUAUUAAUUAUGUGUAACAUUAUUAAAAUAUAGUGGUCUAUAAUAUUUUGAUGAUUUGGUAUAUGUCUGUAUCUUUAUAUAUAGUACUUUUUAUGUCUCCAAUGUCGUUUAACUUGAGUGGUAAGAAUUUUACACGCAUUUUAUGGCUUUUAAAAGAUGUAGUUUCAUAAAUAAUUUUAUUUUUUUCUUCCGAAUAAAAAUUCAGCGUUUUACACACAAAAAAAUAACAAAAAAAAGUUAUGAAGCUAUGUUUUAUAAGAGUCUUAAAAUACGUGCUAAGCAGUAGAAAAAACUGUAAACUAAUGAGAGGGACAUGUAGUAAUAAUAAUAAAAUGAUGCAUUAUAGAGGACAAUCAUCGAAAAUUAAGUUAACCUCUCUAUUUAUUUAUCUUGAAAAUUGUAGUAAAAUAAAGUUAUUAAAAUUUAUGAAGAUAAAUUUGAGAGAGAUCUUGGACUGAGCUAGUCAAUUGAAACUUUAAUAGCGAAAGAUGAUGCAUCAUAUCAAUCAAUUACACUUUAUCUUCUUAUCAUCAGGGAGGGUGAAUUGUUUGAAGUCAUUGAUUUCAUAUUCAUGAUUUAUUGAAUUUUAGAAUUCUAAUUACGAUUUUUCCUGGUUUUAAUUUUUCAUCGGCUCAUUUUAUAUUAUUUUUGUUAUAUAUAAGGAUAUAAACAUACGACACAUCAUCAAAAUAUUACAUACUAUCACUAUGUAUAAAUGAUGCGACAAAAAUUAUCAUAAUGCUAGUAAUUAAAUCCGAACCUGAGUAGUGGCUAAAAAAAAAUCCAAACCUAAUAUUAAUGGUAAAAGGAAAAAAAAAAUAGUUAGGUGGCAAGUUUCUAAAAACACUAUAAAUUGAGUGGCAAAAAAAAUCUAUUUUCCAAACAUAGCUUGGGGUAAUAACAAAACCUUAAUCAACGCAAGCACAGCAGACCGCAGGCAUAAGGCUUAUAAAUAGAAGUGCAGUAUUGUGUUGAUGGUCAAGUUGAGUGGAAAUAUGGUACACUUUGUAAAGCCUUGUUAUCCUCUUCUCUUUGUUUUCUUUCUCUCAUUACUUCAAUCCAUUCUAACAACACUACCUGAAUCCAGACGAGAGGGAGAAGCUCUUGUGAAAUGGAAGAAUAGCCUAGCCCCGUCUUCUUUUCUCGACUCUUGGUCACUCACUGAUCUCGAUAAUCUUUGUAACUGGACUGGCAUUACUUGUAACUCUGCAGGUUCAGUCUCGGAGAUUAACCUUUGUGAGAAACAACUUGAUGGAAUGCUGUCCGAGUUUGGUUUCACUUCAUUUCCAGAUCUCAACUAUCUCACCCUCGCAGACAACUUCUUCUCGGGUCCGAUACCAUCAGCCAUUGAGAAUCUAACACAGCUUCAAUAUCUUGAUUUAAGCAUGAAUAGUCUCAAUGGUCCCAUUCCUUUCCAGGUUAGCCAUAUUCAGAGCUUGCUCAUCUUAAACCUGUCACACAAUGCAUUGCAAUCUCCAAAUUGGUCCCAUUGCUCUCCCAUGCCUGUCUUGCGCAUCCUCGACCUUAGUUUUAAUAAUCUUGUGUCGAAAUUCCCAGAAUUUAUAUCCAAUUCUCAUAGCCUGACUCACCUUAACCUUUCAGAUAACAAGUUUACUGGUGAUCUUGUGCGUGAAUUUACCAAUCUACAAAAUCUUGAAACCCUCUACCUUCAAGAUAAUUCUUUUGAGGGGCCGUUUCCGCCUGAUAUAGUCCAGCUUUCCAAAUUAAAACGUCUCGCCCUGUUAGGUAACAAAUUUUCAGGUUCAAUUCCCAAUGACAUAAGGUUGCUUUGUGUUCUUGAAUACCUAUAUUUAGGCAACAAUUCCUUUGAAGGACCACUUCCACCAAAUAUAUUCACGCUUUCAAAAUUAAAAUUACUUGUUCUUUGGGGUAAUAAGUUUUCAGGUUCUAUUUCCAAUGAUAUAGGUUUGCUUUCUGAGCUUGAAACCCUCGUUCUUGACUCUAAUUAUUUUGAGGGGCCACUUCCGCCAAAUAUAUUCAAGCUCUCUAAAUUAAAGGUUUUUUCCCUUGUGUACAAUAACUUUUCAGGUUCUGUUUCCAAUGAUAUAGGUUUGCUUUCUGAGCUUGAAUAUCUCCGUAUUGGCUGCAAUUCUUUCGAGGGACCGUUGCCAACAAAUAUAUUCAAGCUUUCCAAAUUAAGUAAACUUGACCUAUCAAAUAAUAGUAAUUUUUUUGAAGGAAGUAUUCUUAUUGGAUUGGGACUCUUGACUAACCUCAGCUACUUAGAUCUAGAUUCCAAUAAUCUCAGUGGCUAUAUUCCAUCUGAGAUUGGAAACCUGAAGCUACUAGUAUUUCUCGAUCUUAGUUCUAAUCAAUUGACUGGAUCGCUUUCAAAGAUCUUUUCUAAUCUCACAAAUCUUAUAUAUCUUCAUGUAUAUGAUAAUAGUCUUAGUGGAAAUAUUCAGAGUGACUUGUGGAAAAACUCUGUAUCCUUGCGUUUCGUUGAUCUUGCAAAUAAUUAUUUGUCUGGAAACAUCCCUAAGGAAUAUAACGAUCAUCCAACUUUGGAAUACAUUAAUUUAAGUUGGAACCAUUUUACAGGUAUAUUUUCUCUAUAUAUCUUUUCCUUUUCUNCUCAUAUGUAACUAAGCUUGAUUAUUGCAAUUUUACCUAAGUUUCAACAAUCUUGACAGGUGAGCUUCCAACAACAAUUUGCAAUGUCACUUCCCUCUCGGUUCUUGUUUUGUCAAAGAAUGGAUUAAGUGGUCCACUUCCAAAUUGUUUCGGAAAUCUUGCUGAUAGAUUGCUUUCCAUUAAUCUUGCUAAUAAUCAGUUCCGAGGAACAAUACCAACUACUUUCUCCAGCAGUUGUCAGCUGACAUAUCUAAACAUGGAUGAUAAUGAGUUUGAAGGAAUGUUGCCUCAAUCUUUGGCGAAAUGUAAGCACUUGAAAAUUCUUGAUAUUGGCAAUAACAAAAUAGGUGGUAUAUUUCCGUCAUGGCUUUAUGUACUUGGAGAGCUAGAAGUCCUUGUCUUGCGAUCAAAUAAACUCUAUGGUACAAUAAGUGGAAGGAGCAUAGAAGAUCCGUUCCCCAAGUUGCGGAUUGUGGAUCUGUCCAACAAUCAAUUCACCGGCCAGUUGCCAAUUCAAUACUUUAAGAAUAUGAAAUCAACUGAUAAUUUGUAUCGUUAUCGGAAUUCCACAGGACCAUUAUCUUUCUCUUAUGAAGCAGCAGUCUCAUUAACUGUGAAGGGAACAGAGUACGAGGUAGCAAAGAACCUUCAUAUUUACACAGCCAUUGACCUGUCAUGCAACAAAUUUCAGGGAGAAAUUCCAAAGGUUACUGGAGAGCUUAGAUGGCUUGCAUUGCUGAAUUUAUCUCAUAAUAGUCUGACAGGACCUAUCCCAUCCUUGCUGAAAAAUAUGAAAGAACUCCAAUCUUUAGAUUUGUCCUCAAAUCAACUGACAGGGGCUAUUCCACCUCAGUUAACUGCAUUGACAUUUCUGGAGGUCUUCAACCUCUCGGGAAACCAUCUUAGUGGAGAGAUUCCUCAGAAAGGACAGUUCAGCACAUUUAACAAUGAUUCUUAUCUAGGAAACUCCGCGUUAUGUGGAUCACCUUUGACAAAGAAAUGUGCAAACACAGCAUCACCUCCACAAGAAGUCGGAAAUGGUGAUGAAGAUGAUGCUGGUGAUGAAUGGACAUGGGAAGCAAUCGUGAUGGGAUAUGGAUGUGGACUGAUAUGUGGAUUGUCAUCUGCGUACAUUGUUCUCAAACUAGGAAAGCCUUGGUGGUUUGUGAGAUAUAUCGAAGUGCUGCAACUGAAGUUGAUGAAAAGAUAUGCUUGAAAAAUGGUACUGGCCGAUCAAGACGAACUUGAAAGUUGUUGUCCUUGUGGACAUUUCUGAACCAGUAGUGUACUAGCUGCAUAAGUAUUUGGUAUUAUGUAAUAAUCCGUUUGGUCAGGACUCAUAAUGAUUUCUCUUGCUUCAGGGGUAUUAAUAUUAACCUUGCUAGUUAAUUCAAAUUAAAACAAAUAUAAAAUCAAAAAAUUUGCAUCAAACACCUGUUAUACCAACAUCCAUUAAUUUGCUUUCAUCUCUUACGUAACAAUUUAACAGCGAUUCCACACUGUUUUAGGCAUGGAGAUUACACAAAGAAGGCAAGUCCAUGGACUAAUAUACGAACAAUUCAUAUUGGUCUUCCAUCUGUUCAACCGUCUCCCGAAGAUAGGCCAAAAAUGUCAUCUGUGGUUCUUAUCUUUGUCAGUAAAGGAGAAUCUCUGAUGCCUAUACAACCUGGUUUUCUUACCGAAAGGAAUGUAGGUGAAACCAGGGGCAUAAAAUGAAUCGGGACUAAAAUCUGCUAAAAUGAUAAUUAUUUACUCAUCAUUCGAGAUUAGUCGGGCUCGAAUGAAGAUUUAUAUGGAUUUUAAGAACAAACUAUGACUAAAUAUGAAAAAAUCAUUAAUUUUUCCGACUCAAUAUUUUUAGCCUCCCCCGGCCCUGGGUGAAACCAUAAGCUUCUCUGGUGCACAUCCAAAUCAUUCAGCUGGUUCUACAUUCAGCUCACCCACAGGAACAUCAUUCUGCAGGUACUCUCUUAUCUGUACUUUCUUAUAUUGUAUGCCAGAAAAUUUAAUAUCGACAAACUGCACAAUACACCUCGAUCUCAUAUUAUUGACAGGUGAGCUCCUCUCAUAAUGCUCACAGGCGAACUCCUGCAUAUAUACUUUGUGAUGUCAUUGAUGAUCGAUAGGCUUGAAAAAAAAUUAUGACAAAGAUUCAUAAAAUAUCUACUUCCAUCCUAAUUCAGUAUUCAAUAUUAUUCAUUCCGUAUCAUCAUCCAAUCAAUUCUAAUAGUUCUUCUUUAAAUCAGUAUAAAUAUUGUUAAAUAUAUUGAUGAUGGUUGUCUUUCCGCGAACCAAUCAUAAAAUUACCUCUGUAUAAAUCCAUCGGAAAUAAGACAGUUAAUAUCCCAAUCGAAUACACCCCUGUCAGUUGUCAAACUCCUCGAAACGUAUUAAUCACUUUAGAAAAUUUGUUCCACUGGCGCUAGUCAGUCCCAGAGUUGGUGGUGGGUGCUUCUGGGCUUUCGAAAAGCACCCAUUUACUCCAUUGUUUAGAGAAGUAAAACCCCACCUUCCGCUCAUUUGAUUGAUCAGCUGAAUUAGGCAGAGUUUACAUGGUCAUGAUCAUAGUCUCCCAUUUCCCAGAUACGCGCAUUAUAGUGGAUUUAUCUUUAUCAGUAAUUUCUGUGGAGAUGCAUAAUCAUUAUAAACUCCAAUAUAAAAAUUUAAAGUUGGUAUGGGCAUUUGUGUUGAUAAUUUGCGCAAUGUUAACAGGAAUUGCUCCCAAGUCUUGGACGGACUCUUUCAAAGUCUUCUGAGGACCCAUCUGCACACUAAUUUGUCUCCCAACUAAAAAAUCAACAAUAUGUUACUCCCUCCGUUUUUCUUAAACGAGGUUAAAAUUUUUGACACAAGAUGGGUUGACAGUAUAAUAAAAAUUUUUGUGAAUAAAAUUUUUUUUAUUUAGAAAGAUAAUCUUGAAAAUAAUAUUAUUAACUAAGUUAAAUCACUUAAAAGUGUAUGUCCAAAAAUUAAAGCGGCAUAUAAAAAAAAGGGAGGGAGCAUGUACUAACUGUUUCCAUAACAGUUUACAAGUAUAAGUUAUACUCCCUCUCUAUUUUUUUAUAUGACGGUUUGAUUUUGGGCACACAUUUUUAAGUGUUUUGACCAGAUAAUUAAAAGGGGUUUUCUCAUAAAUACCUAAGUCUAAAAUUAUUUUUACGAAAAUAUUAUAUCUUUUUUUAAAUAUUUUGCAAAAAUACCAAACUUUGUAAAUAUUUACAAAAAUACGGUAUGCAACCCGUUGCAACCACAUGCAACCUUACUUGCAACCAUAUUUGCAACCCCUGCGGGGUCAAUUAACUGAAAUUGCAUCUGGUUGCGUUUAGUUGCAGACCGUAUUUUUGCAAAUAUUUUCUAAAAAGUUAGUAUAUUUGCAAUUUUUUUAAAAAUAUAAGAAAAUCGCAAAAAUUAUAACAAAGCUUCAAGAUUUUUAACAGGUGAGCUUCCACUAAAAAUUUGCAAAGUCACUUCCCUUUCGCGUCUCAUUAUGUCAGAUAUUGGUCAAGUGGUGCACUUCCACAGUGUUUGGGGAACCUUUCUUUGCUUGGUUUCAAUAAUCUUGCUAAUAAUCAAUUUCAAGGACCAAUACCAACGACUGUCCAAGACUUGUCUGUGCAUAUCUAAACAUCCAUAACAAUCACUUUGAAGGUUUGUUGCUCCAAUCUUUGGCAAACUGUAAACACUUACAAAUUCUUGAUAUUGGAAACAACAAAAUAGGUGGUACAUUUCCGUCAUGGCUAUUUACUGUUGGAGAGCUAGAUGUCCUAGUUAGGACGGUAUUUCGACUAGAGCAAGCCGAGUUUUGAGCGGAGCCCAAUUCGAGCCAAGUUUAAUCGAGUCGAGCCGAGUCAGUUCGUUUGGCUAAUCGAGCCUAAAACUCUGUCCGAACUCGACUCGUUUAAUUUCACGAGUUGAGUCAAGCCAGCUCAUUUAGCUAAACGAGUUGGUUUUAACGAGUUAAACGAGUGAGCUCGUAUAAUUUUAACUUAAUCGAGCCUGGAUCUCUAUCCGAACUAUUGGCUCGUGUAAUUUCGCGAGUCGAAUCGAGCCGGCUCGUUUUAUUAAACAAACCGAAAUUUUUGCCCAAAUUUUGCUCGUUUAACAAGCCGAUCUGAACCUAGUUAAAUGAGUUCGAGCUAGUCGAGCUCGCAGCUUGCGAGCUCGCCGGACAGCUCUAGUACUAGUCUUGCGAUCAAAUAGGUUUCACGGUAUAGAAAGUGGAAGGAACACAAGGCAUCUGUACUUUCUUGUACUGUAUGCCACUUUGACAGUAAAAUUUAUACUCCCUCCGUCCGAAUGAAUUGUAUACAGUUUACUUUUUGGGACGUCCCAUCAAUUGUAUACAUUCCUAAAGUAGUAAACUUUUAUAAUAUAAAACAUCAUUAAACCAACUACUUUCUUCCCCUAUCUCCAUUCUAUAAUAAUAUAAACACUAUUACACCCACUACUUUCCUCCACUAUCUCAAAUUUAUUAUUAAAUAUAAAUGGGUCCCACCACUAUACUCACUUUUCAUCCAACUUUACUCAUUUCUAAUAAAAUUUCUUGGUCUCCGUGUCCCAGCCAUUUGUAUACAAAUGACUGGGACGGAGGGAGUAUCAACAAACUGCACGAUUAAAUCCUCGUACAAUUGACAGGUGAACUCCUGCAUAUGUUCUGAACUAUUACGUACUAUAUUAUGCAAGCUGUUUGCAACUUUCAUCAAAAUUUUCAAACAUUUCUUAAUAUGUUUUUUCAAAAAAUUCUCGGGCCCUCUUAAGGCCUAUUAUUAUUGCAACUCUCACGUUAUGGACCACUAUGUAUUUUACAAGCACGACGAAUCAUGUGGUCAUUAUGGACUCCCCAAGCCUUCGAGGACUCACUCCAGGUCUUAGGAGGACCACUGCCUAGCUCACCCUUUCGGAGUGAUGUAAAUUAUUUUCUAGACACUAAAAAUAAGUAUUCAGAUUAAUCAUUACAAAAUUAAGGAUAUAAAAUCAGAAUAAAUCCUAAACUUUGAUGAUACAAAAAAAUUAUAAUUGUAAAUUAUACAAUCAAAUUAAAAUCGAAUUAACUUCCCUCACACUUAAAAUUUAUAGCGAUCAAAUCAAAAUCGAAUUAACUUUCCUAUUACUAAAAUAUAAUUACAAUAUUAUUAGAUAAAGAGAAUAUAUAAUAAUCAAGAGAAAAUAGAUUUUUUUUUGCCACUCAACUUAUCGUGUUUUAAGAAACUUACCACCCAACUAAAUUUUUUUUCCUUUUGCUCACUAAUGUUAGGUUUGGAUUUGUUUUUAGCCACCAACUAAGGUUCGGAUUUGAUUACCAGCAUUAUGAUAAUUUUUUUUGUCACUAAACUUAUUGCGUCUUUAGAAACUAACCACUCAACUAAAUUUUUUUUUAUUUUACUCACUAAUGUUAGGUUCAGUUUUUUUUUGUCACUGAAGUUAGGUUCGGAUUUGAUUAUUAGCAUUACAUUAAUUCUGUGUAGCAUUUUUAAAAUAUGGUAGUACUCUGUGAUAUUUAGAUGAUUUGAUAUAUGUCUGUAUUUUUAUAUAUAGUAUAUUUUAUGUCUCCAAGAUCAUUUACCUUGGGUCAUAAGAAUUUUACACGCAUUAUAUGACUUUUAAAAGAUGUAGUGUCAUAAAUAAUUUUAUUUUUUUUUCCGAAUUAAAAUUCAGCAUUUGAAUUUUACACACACAAAAAUCGCAAGAAUAAGUUAUGAAAUUAUGCUUUAUAAGAGUCUUAAAAUACGUGCUAAACGGUAGAAAAAACGGUGAAAUAAUGAGAGGUACAUAGGAGUAAUAAUAACAUAAAAUGAUGCACAAGUUAGUAUAUUGGACUAAUAUUCACGCAUUUAUAUACGAGAAUAUAUGGUCCACAAGUUAGUGCACAAUGUCCAAGAAUCUUUAUCAAAGUAACACGGCAAGCAUGCAGCAUAUAAAUAAGAGUGGGCAGUAUGGUAUUGCAUUCAUAACCCACUUGAGGAGAAAUAUGGCACACUUCCUAAAGCCUUCUCACCUUCUUCUCUUUGUUUUCUCUCUCUCGUUACUUCAAUCCAUUCUACCAACAAGACCAGAGGGAGAAGCUCUUGUGAAAUGGAAGAAUAGCCUAGCCCCUUCUUCUUUUCUCGAUUCUUGGUCACUCACCAAUCUCGAUGAUCUUUGUAACUGGACUGGCAUUACUUGUAACUCUGCAGGUUCAGUCUCUGAGAUUAACCUUUAUGAGAAACAACUUGAUGGAAUGCUGUCCGAGUUUGGCUUCACUUCAUUUCCGAAUCUCAACAAUCUCACCCUCGCAUACAACUUCUUCUCGGGUCCAAUUCCACCAGCCAUUGAGAAUUUAACACAGCUUCAAUAUCUUGAUUUAAGCAUCAAUAGUCUCGAUGGUCCCAUUCCGUUCCAGGUUAGCCAUCUUCAGAGGUUGCUCGUCUUAAACCUGUCACAGAAUGCAUUGCAAGCUCCAAAUUGGUCCAAAUUCUCCCCCAUGCCCUUUUUGUGCAUCCUCAACCUCAGUAGCAAUCCUCUUGCGUCGACAUUCCCAAAUUUCAUAUCCAAUUCUCAUGGCCUGACUCACCUCAGCCUUGAUCAAAACGAGUUUACAGGUGAUUUAGCGCGUGAAUCAAUAUUUGCCAAUCUGCAUAAUCUUGAAGUCCUCAGUCUUGUUGGCAAUUCUUUUGAGGGGGCCAUUUCCGCCAAAUAUAUUCAAGCUUUCCAAAUUAAAACAUCUUAGCCUGUCAGAUAACAAACUUUCAGGUUCAAUUCCCAAUGACAUAAGGUUGCUUUGUGAUCUUGAAUACCUAUAUUUAGGCAACAAUUCCUUUGAAGGACCGCUUCCACCAAAUAUAUUCAAGCUUUCAAAAUUAAAACAUCUUAUUCUUUGGGGUAAUAAGUUUUCAGGUUCUGUUUCCAACGAUAUAGGUUUGCUUUCUGAGCUUGAAAGCCUCUAUCUUGACUCCAAUUUUUUUGAGGGGCCGCUUCCGCCAAAUUUAUUCAAGCUCUCCAAACUAAAGAUUCUUUUCCUUUAUGAGAAUAACUUUUCAGGUUUUAUUUCUAAGGAUAUAGGUUUGCUUUUUGAACUUGAAACCCUCUAUCUUGACUCUAAUUUUUUUGAGGGGCCGCUUCCCCCACAUGUAUUUAGGCUCUCCAAAUUAAGAGAUCUGGGUCUCUCAGACAAUAGAAAUUUAUUUGAAGGAAGUAUUCCUAUUGGACUGGGACUCUUGACUAACCUCAGAUACUUGCGUCUAUCUUCCAAUAAUCUCGGUGGCUAUAUUCCAUCUGACAUUGGAAACCUGAAGCAACUAGAACUUCUUGAUCUCGGUUCUAAUCAAUUGACUGGACCGCUUUCAAAGAUCGUUUCUAAUCUCACAAAUCUUAUAUAUCUUGAUGUGAGUUAUAAUAGUCUUAGUGGAAAUAUUCAGAGUGACUGGUGGAAAAACUCUGUAUCCUUACGUUACAUUGAUUUUGAAAAUAAUUAUUUGUCUGGGAACAUUCCUAAGGAAUAUAACGAUCAUCCAACUUUGGAAUACAUCAAUUUAGGUGGGAACCAUUUUACAGGUAUAUUUUCUCUAUAUAUCUUUUCCUUUUGUCAUAUGUAAAUAAGCUAGUAAUCUGGUUAUUGUAGUUUUACCAAAGUUUCAACAAUCUUGACAGGUGAGCUUCCAACAACAAUUUGCAAUGCCACUUCCCUUUCGGUUCUUGUUUUGUCAAAUAAUGGAUUAAGUGGUGCACUUCCAAAAUGUUUCGGGAAUCUUGCUGAUGGAUUGCUUUACAUUAAUCUUGCUAAUAAUCAGUUUCGAGGAACAAUACCAACUACUUUCUCCAGGAGUUGUCGGUUGACAUAUCUAAACAUGGAUAAUAAUGAGUUUGAAGGAUUGUUGCCCCCAUCUUUGGCGAACUGUAAGCACUUGAAAAUUCUUGAUAUAGGCAAUAAUAAAAUAGGUGGUACAUUUCCGUCAUGGCUUUAUGCACUUGGAGAGCUAGAAGUUCUUGUCUUGCGAUCAAAUAAACUCUAUGGUACGAUAAGUGGAAGGAGCAUAGAAGAUCCCUUCCCAAAGUUGCGGAUUGUGGAUCUGUCCCACAAUCAAUUGACAGGCUAUUUGCCAAUUCAAUACUUUAAGAAUAUGAAAUCAACUGAUGAUUUGUAUAGUUUCCGGAAUUCCACAGGAACCGCAUCUAUCUCUUAUGAAGCAUCGGUCUCAUUAACCGUGAAGGGAACAGAGUAUGAAGUAGCAAAUAACCUUCAUAUUUACACAGCCAUUGAUCUAUCGUGCAACAAAUUUCAGGGACAAAUUCCAAAGGUUACUGGAGAGCUUAAAUGGCUGGCAUUGCUCAACUUAUCUCAUAAUAGUCUAACAGGACCUAUCCCGUCAUUGCUGAGAAAUAUGAAAGAACUCCAGUCUUUAGAUUUGUCUUCAAAUCAACUAACAGGGGCUAUUCCACCUCAGUUAACUGCACUGACAUUUCUAGAGGUCUUGAACUUCUCGGGAAACCAUCUUAGUGGAGAGAUUCCUCAGAAAGGACAGUUCAGCACAUUCAACAAUGAUUCCUAUCUAGGAAACUCUGCGUUAUGUGGAUCACCUUUGACGAAGAAAUGUGUAAACACUGUAUCACCUCCUCAGGAAGUCGAAAAUGGUGAUGAAGAUGAUGCUGGUGAUGAAUUGACAUGGGAAGCAAUCGUGAUGGGAUAUGGAUGUGGACUGAUAUGUGGAUUGUCAUCUGCGUACAUUGUUCUCAAACUAGGAAAGCCUUGGUGGUUUGUGAGAUAUAUCGAAGUACUGCAACUGAAGUUGAUGAAAAGAUAUGCAUGAAGAAAGGUACUGGUAGAUCAAGAUGAACUUGAAAGUUGUUGUCCUGGUAGACAUUUCUGAACCAGUAGUAUACUAGCUGUGUAAGUAUUUGGUAUUAUGUAAUAAUCCGUUUGGUCGGGACUCAAAAUGAUUUCUCUUGCUUCAGGGGUAUUAAUAUUAACCUUGCUAUCUUGAUCAAUGUUAAUGCAAAUUAAAAAGAAUAUAAAAGCAAAAAAUUUGCAUCAAACACCUGUUGUACCACAGGCUUCCGACUCAAUAUUUGUUAGCCUCCCGUGCCCUGUGUGAAACCAUAAGCUUCUCUGGUGAAUAUCCAAAUCAUUCAGCUGGUUCUACUUUCAGCUCACCGCAGGAACAUCAUUCUGCAGGUACUCUCUUAUCUGUACUUUCUUAUAUUGUAUGCCAGAAAAUUUAAUAUCGACAAACUGCACAAUACACCUCGAUCUCAUAUUAUUGACAGGUGAGCUCCUCUCAUAAUGCUCACAGGCGAACUCCUGCAUAUACUUUGUGAUGUCAUUGAUGAUCGAUAGACUUGAAAAAAAAUUAUGACAAAGAUUCAUAAAAUAUCUACUUCCAUCCUAAUUCAGUAUUCAAUAUUAUGCAUUCCGUAUCAUCAUCCAAUCAAUUCUAAUAGUUCUUCUUUAAAUCAGGACAAAUAUUGUUAAAUACAUGGAUGAUGGUUGUCUUUCCGCGAACCAAUCAUGAAAUUACCUCUGUUUAAAUCCGUCGAAAAUAAGAAAAUUAAUAUCCCAAUCGAAUACACCCCGUGAGUUGUCAAACUCCUCGAAACAUAUUAAUCACUUUAGAAAAUUUCAACAAUCUUGACAGGUGAGCUUCCAACAACAAUUUGCAAUGUCACCUCCCUUUCGGUUCUUGUUUUGUCAAAUAAUAAAUUAAGUGGUGCACUUCCAAACUGUUUCGGGAAUCUUGCUGAUGGAUUGCUUUACAUUAAUCUUGCUAAUAAUCAGUUUCAAGGAACAAUACCAACUACUUUCUCCAGGAGUUGUCCGUUGACAUAUCUAAACAUGGAUAAUAAUGAGUUUGAAGGAUUGAUGCCCCCAUCUUUGGCGAACUGUAAGCACUUGAAAAUUCUUGAUAUAGGCAAUAAUAAAAUAGGUGGUACAUUUCCGUCAUGGAUUUAUGCACUUGGAGAGCUAGAAGUUCUUGUCUUGCGAUCAAAUAAACUCUAUGGUACAAUAAGUGGAAGGAGCAUAGAAGAUCCCUUCCCCAAGUUGCGGAUUGUGGAUCUGUCCAACAAUCAAUUCACAGGCCAUUUGCCAAUUCAAUACUUUAAGAAUAUGAAAUCAAAUGAUAAUUUGUAUCGUUAUCUGAAUUCCACAGGAGAAAUAUAUAUCUCUUAUGAAGCAGCAGUCUCAUUAACUGCGAAGGGAACAGAGUAUGAAGUAGCAAAUAACCUUCAUAUUUACACAGCCAUUGAUCUGUCGUGCAACAAAUUUCAGGGAGAAAUUCCAAAGGUUACCGGAGAGCUUAGAUAGCUUGCAUUGCUCAAUUUAUCGCAUAAUAGUCUAACGGGAC